AAUAGAUACCCAGGUAGUCCACGCCGUAAACGAUGAAUACUGGGUGUAGGGGGGGUUAGAUCCCUCUGUGCCGAAGCAAACGCGAUAAGUAUUCCGCCUGGGGAGUACGGCCGCAAGGCUAAAACUCAAAGGAAUUGACGGGGGGCCCGCACAAGCGGCGGAGCAUGCGGAUUAAUUCGAUGCAACGCGAAGAACCUUACCAAGGCUUGACAUAUGCGAGAACGCUCUAGAAAUAGAGAACUCUUUGGACACUCGUAAUACAGGUGGUGCAUGGUUGUCGUCAGCUCGUGUCGUGAAAUGUUGGGUUAAGUCCCGCAACGAGCGCAACCCUCGUCGCAUGUUGCCAGCACGUAAUGGUGGGGAACUCAUGUGAGACUGCCGGGGUCAACUCGGAGGAAGGUGGGGAUGACGUCAAAUCAUCAUGCCCCUUAUGUCUUGGGCUUCACGCAUGCUACAAUGGCCGGUACAAAGGGCUGCGAAACCGCAAGGUGGAGCGAAAUCCCAAAAAGCCGGUCUCAGUUCGGA
Molecule: ribosomal RNA, 525 nt
Filed under: uncultured bacterium
Lineage: Bacteria
Description: bacterial SSU rRNA
Rfam family: Bacterial small subunit ribosomal RNA
Source: RNAcentral